CCUACGGGAGGCAGCAGUGGGGAAUAUUGGACAAUGGGGGAAACCCUGAUCCAGCGACGCCGCGUGAGUGAAGCAGUAUUUCGGUACGUACAGCUCUAUCAGCAGGAAAGAAAAUGACGGUACCUGACUAAGAAGCCCCGGCUAACUACGUGCCAGCAGCCGCGGUAAUACGUAGGGGGCAAGCGUUAUCCGGAUUUACUGGGUGUAAAGGGAGCGUAGACGGCAUGGCAAGUCUGAAGUGAAAGCUCGGGGCUCAACCGCGGGACUGCUUUGGAAACUGUUAAGCUGGAGUGCAGGAGAGGUAAGUGGAAUUCCUGGUGUAGCGGUGAAAUGCGUAGAUAUUAGGAGGAACACCAGUGGCGAAGGCGGCUUACUGGACUGUAACUGACGUUGAGGCUCGAAAGCGUGGGGAGCAAACAGGAUUAGAUACCCUGGUAGUC
This 440-nucleotide ribosomal RNA is filed under the name uncultured bacterium. RNAcentral's name for it is "partial 16S ribosomal RNA". It matches the Rfam family "Bacterial small subunit ribosomal RNA", at positions 338 to 795 of the family's 1533-position model. The record is from RNAcentral.